UCUGCCAGAGGUUGGAAGUUCUGACUCAGGCUCAGACUGUGUGCAGCUGUCUCAGACAGAUCCCCAGCCAGACGUGCAGGUACCCAAUGGUUCCCUGUUUGCUCUUCAUUGUUGUCCUGAUCCCUUUGGGAUGGGCCGUCCGUCAGCCCCCAGACAUGGUGGUCAUUCAGGGACAACAACUGACACUGAACUGCUCUCUAUCAACACCUCAAAUCAUGACCAUGUACUGGUACAAACAGGCCGUGGGGAAGGACGCAAGGCUGCAGCUGGUGGUGUUUUCUACAGAAGGCUCCGAUGCAAAUGUUGAGAAGCCAUUUGAAGGUCACUUCCAGAGCAGUAGGACAAAAAACUAUGUCCUGUCUCUGUCUACAGAGAGUGCCCAGGUGCAAGAUUCAGGCACAUAUUACUGUGCUAAGCAAAAUCACACAUGGCUGGAAGGCAAGACAAGGCUGGACCGGGACUCCUCCCUGGUCCCUGGUGACCAGCCUGGUCUUGUGUGCCAUGAAAGCCAUUCCAGCCUGUCCUCCUGGUCCAGCGCUCAUCUCUGCACCUCUGCGGAACUGGAGCUGACAGCCAGCGGGGCCCCGGCAGGGUUCCAGUGA
Trachemys scripta elegans is the source of this 602-nucleotide non-coding RNA. Lineage: Eukaryota; Metazoa; Chordata; Testudines; Emydidae. The record is from the annotation of a RefSeq genome assembly.